UCCUCGAUGGUCUAGUGGUCAUGAGUAAGCUCAACCAGUCCAACACGCGGGAGACCAGGGUUCGAUUCCCUGUCGGGGAG
RNAcentral lists this transfer RNA (80 nucleotides) under Phialophora macrospora. RNAcentral describes it as "tRNA-Val (AAC) (tRNA-Val-AAC-2-1)". It matches the Rfam family "tRNA". Rfam says of the family: Transfer RNA (tRNA) molecules are approximately 80 nucleotides in length. Their secondary structure includes four short double-helical elements and three loops (D, anti-codon, and T loops). Lineage: Eukaryota; Fungi; Ascomycota; Eurotiomycetes; Chaetothyriales; Herpotrichiellaceae. The record is from RNAcentral.